Molecule: long non-coding RNA, 1310 nt
Organism: Oncorhynchus tshawytscha (Chinook salmon)
Lineage: Eukaryota; Metazoa; Chordata; Actinopteri; Salmoniformes; Salmonidae
Source: Ensembl
CGAACAACAAACACACUGGUUCACCGUUCCACCGGAGCAAACAGUACACCAUAAUGUUCUGAAUAAUGGCCAAGUAUACCUCGCUCCCUAUUCCACUGUACCGCUUAGGACUAACAAACACAAGUACAACAUUUAUCGGAAACUGUUAAACUACCCUCCUGCUCUCUGGGGAUGUACAACUCAACCCUGGGCCUAACAUCACCGAGCCAGCGAUACUCACCGGAGUGGAAAGCGGUGGAUGGCCUCGUCCACUGAUCGUCGCCGCUGCGGAAGUGGAACUGCAAGAAAACCAGUAUCUGGAAGGAAGAGGUCGACAGAGCAGGAGACCCACGUUGUAAAGAUGGUCAUUGCAAAUAACUGCAUCAGACUAAGAGAGCUACAGUACCCCAUAAUGGCAGAUAACACAAUAUUCCAAAACGUCAACAGAGUGAGUCUCGCUGCACUGUCUCGUCUACUGAAACGCAAUAGAAUUAGGAUGAAGCAGCUGUACAGAGUCCCUUUCGAAAGAAACUCAGACCGUGUAAAUCAACUGAGAUAUGAAUAUGUGCAGAGAGUCAUGGAGCUAGAAGCAGAUGCAGUGCAUCAUGAGCUAAUAUAUGUGGACGAGGCAGGUUCAACCUUGCAAAAACAAGGGGCCGCGGCAGAAAUAUCAUCGGACACCGCGCCAUCAUUAACGUCCCGGGACAACUUGGUGGCAACAACAAUGUGUACAGCUAUUAGUCAAAACGGCGUCCUUCACCAUCAUGCAAUCCUAGGCCCAUACAACACCGCACACAUUAUCACAUUUCUGGACACUCUCCACAACAGACUAAUCCCUGAUGACCAGGGGCCAGAGCAGCCCAGGUACGUUAUCAAAAAACUAUUCUGUUCUUUUUCUUCUUCUAGCACAAAUGUUUUUGUUUUCUUAUACUGCACUUUUGUUGUUUGAGUGUUUUGAGAAGAAGAAAAAAAAAUGUUUUCUACUUAUUUGUAUUGAUAGUGCGUUAUGUUCGGAACACACAUCCAUACUUUACACAUUUGGAUACCUGUGUGUAUGUGUGUUUACUACAUGUAUGACAAUGUACUUUAUUGGAAACUGCUAUGCCCUGCAGACUGAAAAAGCAUAAAGCUUGAAAAGUGUUUUUCAUUUAUACUAUCAGUGCGUAGUUGGUGCUUCGUGUGCUUAUUCAAAUGAGGGUUUGUGUGUACUGUAUUGACACAAAAACAAGAAAUAAGGUUUUGUGGUUAGUGUGUAGAGUUUUGAAAAAAUAGCCUAUAGUUUCAAAGAUAGUGCCUAAGCAAUCAGAAUAAACUGUAAAUCAAACCAUGGG